Sus scrofa (pig) is the source of this 262-nucleotide non-coding RNA. The record is from RefSeq and is a predicted model, not a curated record. Lineage: Eukaryota; Metazoa; Chordata; Mammalia; Artiodactyla; Suidae.
GGAUUCUGGAGGACAUUCGUAGGACCAGAAUCUGAUGUGAGAGAAGGAAAGACCAGGGAUACAGCUAGAGGGGUCCUCUUGAAAACUCCAGUUCCUCUCGAAGACUUGGCAACUCCUGAUGAUUGGAGGCAUUUGCUUGCAGGAUUUCUGAUUACACACUGAAUUUAAUCCUUGGGUUUUAUCAGCGCAUCAGGGAGUUCCUCCCCUCAGCCACACCACUUCAGCUCUGGGCCAUCGGCUUGUGGAAUUUGUAACUAUUAUC